GUACAUGGUCAAGUGGAGAUCUUGGGUAGGAACCCUAGUUAGUUAAUUCGCGAUUAAUACACGAAUUAUACGCGAAUUUUUGAAGAUACGAAUUAUACGGCCCCUUUUCGUAUUUUUUUGAAAAGUUCGGAAAAAAACGCGAUUUCUUCGUCAAAAAUAAUUGUUCGCGAAUUAUUCGCGAUUCGCGAAUUAUUCAACCAAAAAAACCACGCUGGCGGUCGCGGAUUCGC
RNAcentral lists this long non-coding RNA (230 nucleotides) under Ananas comosus (pineapple). RNAcentral's name for it is "long non-coding RNA (ACOM_LNC030667)". The record is from RNAcentral. Lineage: Eukaryota; Viridiplantae; Streptophyta; Magnoliopsida; Poales; Bromeliaceae.